CAGGAAGCAAAUCAGACACCUGGCCCAGUCGCCUCUCUGAUAAGGAGUGGGAGAGAAUGCCAGCCAUGCAUUUCGCGACUCUCCCUCUGCUCGUUCCCAGAAGCACACAUUGAAGCUUCCUUUCCAGGGAAAGAAAAAGGCCACAUUUCUGGGGAAAAAAAAAAAACUUGAAAAAUAACCAAGCACUCGCUGCACAUAAAACAGCUGCUGCGUGCAGACCACUUGGUGCAGCCACGACGCGGGGGAGAGUGAAGACGGGCAAUUCCGGGGCGGUCGUGUCAUCUUUCUGGGUGAGUACACACGUGACACCGAGAGAAGAGAAAGUGGUUUCCCAGGUUGGCGGCACCAGCACGUUGCCAGGCAAUGAGCCAAGACCGAGGGCUCAGACAAAAGACAGAGCGGCCGACUGGGCUCAGCGGACACACAGCGCAGAGCCAGCUGCUGGCUGGGAGGACGCCCUGCAGCCUCGCAGGGAACGUGGGCUCCGGCUUCCAGAGGGCAGCGCCAUUCGCUCACAGACGGCCAGGAGACCCUCCCUGUGCAGGCAAUGCCGGGUGAGGCAUCGCUCCUGAAGAAUUAAUCAGAAACUCAGAAAAAUUCCGCCGAGCAGAAGCCAGAUGAGAAUCCGACUGGAAAUCUAGAAGGAAUCUGACCAGCAUCGCAAAGAAGGGGAGGAGCUGAGUGGGAAGGCAGCCUCAGGGAGCUUCCCCGGAAAGAUGGGCCUGCUCAUUCCAUCCCCGACAGGACUGUCAGUCAUUUCACAACCACGGCUGCUGAUGAAGACAAUCAAACAGCAGCAACCUUCUGAGGUCAAGACAGUGCUGGGCGUCUCUCGGAGUCACUCCCCUAUCUUUUCGUCUGUUCUCUCAGGACAGCUUGGUGACGUUGCUAAGGAAGGAAUUUGUGAAAAUGAGGAAGCGGCCCCAGAAUCCUUGUUGUUUUUCCCCAAACCUGGCUACUGGUGGUCAGAGUGACCUUGAGGUGCCUCACAGGGUUGUUCCAGGUGGCCCAGGUCUGCACCCUCUGACCCAUGGCCGACCAUCUCCAUGGCCUGUAAAGGUGCUUCUCUUAGGUGCCACCCAAGUGCCACGGCAGUGUCAGAGGGAGGCCCAUAGCCAGCCUCCUGAGUCAGAGCCUUUGGGCUGGGACCGGGGCAAGCACAUUUUUAGAAAGUUCCUCCAGGACACGUUUGGUGGAGCUCAUCCAUAAUGCUCUCUGGACAACCUUUGGACUAAGUAACUUUCCUAAAGUCUCUCAACUCAGUGGCCACCACCUUAGAACUGGGAACUGUCCCUCAAUGCCCACUCAGGUAUUUCUGCCAUGCCCUGUGUAAUUUGGCCUUUCUAGACCCAGCUUUCUUCUCCCACAUGGAGGCCGUGGAGGACUGCCUGUGAGUCCUGAACUCCCUGGGAAGCUUUGGACUUAGAUGUCUCCAUCGCAGGCACACCCCAGCGAAUAUCUUAUCACCAUGAGCUGCGCUUGCUGAUCUCAUUUAUUCUUCAUGAAAUAUUUGUGGAUUUUCUUUUUGUGGCCAGGCACAGGAUAGACUUAGAACAGCAUCCACUUUGUGAAACAAGUAGGACAGGAAUGCAGAUGAGUAAGGGGCAAGACAAGAAAGCACAGUGAGAUGUGAGAUGUGUCCUGCUAGCAUGGGUGGCGGGUGGCACACAGCAAACUUUGGGGAGUCAGGAAAGGCUUCCAAGAAAAAAAGUGUCUGGGAGUUACUCAUCAACGGCAUAAAGUUUCAAUCAACCAAGAUGAGUAAGCUUCAGACAGCGGCUGUACACCAUUGCAUCUGCAGUCAGCAAUAACACACCGACACCUAAACAUUGGUUAAGACGGUGGAUCUCAUGUUAAGUGUACUAACCAUAAUAGAAUUAAAUAUGAGAAAGAAACAAUGUCUAAACUGAGACCUGUGAGUUAAGAAGGACUUAACCAGGUGAAAAUGGAGGCAGGGAUUCCAGGAAAGAGGCUUUGCAAACAAUCUGUUGUCUCCUCUAAUACACCUUAAGCCCCUCAAGAGCACAAACCAUGUUCAUUUGGCCUGAAUUCUGAGUACCUAGUGAAGGUUCAAUACAUUUUGGUUAAAUGAAUAAUCAACUCAGCUGCUGAUAUAUAUAUAUAUGUUUGAGAUAUACAUAUAUCUCAUAUAUAUAUCUAUAUGAGAUAUAUAUAUGAGAUACAUAUAUGAGAGAGAUAUAUAUAUGUAUAUUUCUCAAACAUGUAUAAAUAUAUGUGUGUAUACACACUCACACACAUAUAUACACAUAAGAGGGCAUUGAGAGAGAGAUUGGCAUUUGCAAAAUAAUUUGUUGCUCAAAUUCAGAGGUAUUUGAGCACGUUAUCUUCUUGCAAAUAAUAGAAAAUUGUACCAUGAUAACCCAUGCAAUCUCUGCUUAAUACAUGAGGAAGAAGAUGCAAAUCUAUGUUCUUUCUUUUACCAGGACCUCACUAUAGGAAGAAAAAAAAAGUAAAGCAACCUCGCAGGUAUCUUUGCUGGUUAACAUCAUAGAGUAUGAAGGGUAUCUUGAUGUGAUCCAUUUUAAGCUACAAAGUUUCUUACAGUCAUACUCAAAACUGGCAAAAUACAGGACAUCAUACACAUUUUCAUAUUUUAUUCUAAUGUUUAUUCUGAGGUCAACAAUAUAAAUUAGUUUCUGAGAUGCGCAGAUAAAUUAAAAUUCCAUGCAGGUGACCAUAGACAUACCCCUACUAUGUGUAUCUGUCUAAACUAUAACCGGAGAGGACUACAAUUAAUCCCUUAAGCCCUUUAUCUUCUUUUCGUCUCCUGCUUGGUUCUACGUAAACACCUUUGCUGAACUGGAAGAUCCAACCAACUUAUACGAGCUUCUUGGAUGCGAAUGAAAACCUCGUGAAUUGCCCAGCAAGUUGACAUUCCUUUCUAGAUCCAGCACAUACAACUCUCUCCAGGUGAGCACAAAGAAAGAAGAGAUUUGAAGUCAGCGAGGUGCGUUUUAUUGGUUCAAAAGGGGAGGUUAUUUUUUAAAGGCUUAUGGAAAAAGGUAGCUAUGUUUGUUCUCUCAAAUAAUCACAUAAAGACCCUGCUAACAUUUCUGGUACAACAACCCUGCCGUGGUUAAUUUCCAGACAAUGAAAGGUGAGAAGGCUGGAAAGGAAACCGAAUCCUGCAGUGUCUAAUCAAUUUUAAUAGAAUCCGCUAAUUGAAUCAUCCACAUCCUUUAAAAAGAGACAUGGAAAUCAUGGAAGCAAGCCUCUGUUUUGGUGCAUUCUUCAUCCCUCAUGGCAUGUCAAAAAAAUUGAAUUUCUCACAGUGGAGAAAGAGUCUGUCAAAGUUAACUUUACCUGGAACUAAUAAAUUAUUAUAUUUCAUCCAAAGGGUUUCCAAUAAGUAGUUAUUCAAAGACUCAAUUUUUCAAUUAAUGUCUCCAAAUGCUUUUCUGAUCAUAAUUUUCCUAGUACAUUUUCAUGUUUGCUUCUCACUAUUGUCUUUGUGAGGAGUGUUGGAAAUUCCCAAGCUGGGGCAACCCCCAGGCUUCUCCCUCCAACCCCUCUCUCACUUGGACUCAGGCUUCCCCAGGGAGCAGACUCAGGGCGCACUGAGGGCAGGAGGAGAUGCUGGCAGCCCCUCAGGGUGGAGGCCACCCUGGAACCUUGACCUAGGGAGUCAGUAGUCUGUGGUGUCAGAAGGUGGCAUUAGAUCAGAGGGCUCAGGAAUCCAUAGUCAAG
Molecule: long non-coding RNA, 3708 nt
Filed under: Homo sapiens (human)
Lineage: Eukaryota; Metazoa; Chordata; Mammalia; Primates; Hominidae
Description: HSALNT0206816
Source: RNAcentral